RNAcentral lists this non-coding RNA (203 nucleotides) under Calypte anna (Anna's hummingbird). Its description in RNAcentral is "Eukaryotic large subunit ribosomal RNA". It matches the Rfam family "Eukaryotic large subunit ribosomal RNA", at positions 2419 to 2632 of the family's 3401-position model. The record is from Rfam by way of RNAcentral. Lineage: Eukaryota; Metazoa; Chordata; Aves; Apodiformes; Trochilidae.
AGCUUGACUCUAGUCUGGCGCUGUGAAGAGAUAUGAGAGGUAUAAAAUAAGACCUGGCCGCCGGUGAAAUACCACUACUCUGAUUGUUUUUUCACUUACCUGGUGAGGCGGGGGGGCGAGCCCCAAGGGGGGCUCUCACUUCUGGUGCCAAGCGCGCGACCCGCUCCGGGGGCAGCGGCAGGGGGGGGGGGUUGGCGGGGGGG